GCCAGGCAUGGUGGCCUGUGCUUGUAAUCCCGGUUACUCGGGAGACUGAGGUGGGAGGAUCACUUGAACCCAGGAGUUCAAGGCUGCAGUGAGCCAUGAUUGCACUACUGCACUCCUGCUUGGGUGACAGAGUGAGAUCCCAUCUCUA
This is a non-coding RNA of Homo sapiens (human), 148 nucleotides long. It matches the Rfam family "Metazoan signal recognition particle RNA". From Rfam's summary of the family: The signal recognition particle (SRP) is a universally conserved ribonucleoprotein. NCBI's taxonomy places the organism in Eukaryota, Metazoa, Chordata, Mammalia, Primates, Hominidae. The record is from Rfam.